RNAcentral lists this ribosomal RNA (375 nucleotides) under uncultured organism. RNAcentral describes it as "partial 16S ribosomal RNA". It matches the Rfam family "Bacterial small subunit ribosomal RNA", at positions 527 to 896 of the family's 1533-position model. The record is from RNAcentral.
GGAAGGUGCAAGCGUUAAUCGGAAUUACUGGGCGUAAAGCGCGCGUAGGCGGCUAGAUAAGUCGGGUGUGAAAGCCCUGGGCUCAACCUGGGAACUGCAUUCGAUACUGUCUAGCUAGAGUGUGGUAGAGGGAGGCGGAAUUCCGCAUGUAGCGGUGAAAUGCGUAGAGAUGCGGAGGAACACCAAUGGCGAAGGCAGCCUCCUGGACCAACACUGACGCUGAGGCGCGAAAGCGUGGGGGGAGCAAACAGGAUUAGAUACCCUGGUAGUCCACGCCCGUAAACGAUGUCAACUAGCCGUUGGGAGCAUUUUGGCUCUUGGUGGCGUAGCUAACGCGAUAAGUUGACCCGCCUGGGGAGUACGGUCGCAAGAUUA